RNAcentral lists this unclassified non-coding RNA (1966 nucleotides) under Hevea brasiliensis (rubber tree). Lineage: Eukaryota; Viridiplantae; Streptophyta; Magnoliopsida; Malpighiales; Euphorbiaceae. The record is from RNAcentral.
CGAGCUUUUGGGAGAAAGUGAGAAGAAAAAUCCAUAUCACAUGAAUCGAGGAACGUGCGUAUUAGUUAUGCUGCUAUCUGUAACGGUGUUUGUUUGUCCGUUAACGUCAGCUUGGCAAUCUCCGCCUACUUUUCUCUCUGCUCUGUGCGUCUGCAGCAAGUUCGUGUUCCUUUAAUCCUGUUAUUGUGGCUUUUAAUUUUGUGUCAAAUCCUUACUAAUUAGCUUCUUCAUAAUCUCAUUUGUCGUUGUACUAUCAUUAAUUUUCCUUAAUUAAGGCGCUUAACCACCAGCACCCUCUGAAUAUUUAUACGUCUCGCUCCCUCUUCAGCUCAAUAGACUCCAAUUUCAAAGAUUGAUGAUGACCAGAAGUGCCCAAAGCAGAAGAAACGAAACCCUAGAUUCCUCGAUUCUCUAAAUUCUCCUCUUUCUUUAUACCUUUGCUCUCCAUACCCUCUGUAAAACCCAUCUCAAGUCCCCAAUUCCAAGUCCUCUAGGGUUUGGUUCUUGGAUGGAUUUUCAAUUGGCCAAGAAAGGGUUCGAUUUCUCCCGGAGCAAGAAGAAAUGGCUGAUUUUACUAGCCCUUUCUGGUGUCUCUGGUUAUGGACUUUACAAGGUGUAUAAUUUGCCAUCCGUGGUUAUGAAAAGGAGGAGAUUGAUCAAACUUAUGGGAGCCUUAAUUUCUAUUGCUGAAAUGGUGUCCGAUUCCGCUGAGACGAUUGACAUUGUUUCAAGGGAUUUGAAGGAGUUUCUGCGUUCCGAUUUGGAUGAAAUACCUAAUAGCUUCAAACAAAUUUCUAAGAUUGUCAAAUCGGAUGAGUUCUCCCAGUUGUUGACUGGGGUUUCUCAGGCGUUCACAGUUGGGAUUCUGAGAGGCUAUAAGUUGGAGUCAACAAAUGAUCAAUUGGCAUCAGGUUCAAGGAAUUCAAGUUUCGCUGAUAAGGCGAUGGACAGGUUGUUCUCUACUGCUGGGACUGGGCUUGUUUCGGUCGUUGUUGGUAGUUUUGCCAGGAAUUUGGUUUUGGGGUUUUAUUCUAACGUUGGAGCUGGUGUGGAUCAAAGUGGCUCGAGCAUAUCUGAUGUACCUAGAUGGGUUAGUGUGGUUUGUAAUGAUCGGUGCAAGGAACUUAUAGCUGAAUGCAUACAGAAGUUUGUGAGCACAGCAACUGCUGUUUAUCUUGACAAGACAAUGAACGUCAACACUUUUGAUGAAUUGUUCUCUGGCAUGACCAAUCCGAAUCAUCAAAGCAAUGUGAGAGACAUUCUGGUUUCGGUCUGUAAUAGUGCUGUAGAAACGCUUGUUAAAACAUCUCACCAGGUGUUGAAAAAUUCAAAUUCCAAUUCCAACCUGAAUUCAGGUUCCAAUUCUCGUUCUACAUAUUCAAUUGUUGAGCAGAGUGAAAGACCAAGCAGAGAUGAUUGUCUCAAGCAAGAAGUAUGUUUGAAAGAUGGAUACUCACUUGAAGGGGUUCAGAACCGUGGAUGGUUUGGUAAGGUUUCUUCCACUUUGGCUGUGCCAAGCAAUAGGAAGUUUGUGCUCGAUGUGACUGGGAAGGUGACUUUUGGAACAAUAAGGUCUAUUGUGGAGUUCUUGUUGUGGAAAAUAUCAGAUUGCUUGAAGAGAAGCCUUAAUGUAGUUCAUGAAGAGGUUGUAGAUAGGGGACUAGAGGUUAUUAGAUACUUUGGGGCAAAGUCGUCUGUUAUUGUUACCAUAUGUCUUGCCCUGUAUUUGCAUGUUCUGGGUGGCACUAGGAUUCUCUUACCUGCUUAAUUUUGAUGGCCUUGUCCCUCCCUAAUAAAGCAUUUCUGUUUAUGACAUAGACCUGUUUUGUAUGUAUGUCUUUGUAUCCUCAGUUCAAAACUUUAAUGAAAUAUUCGCUCACCUUCUCAUUUUGAUGGUUGUCUUUGUCUUCAAUAUAUUCUGUGUAACGGGGCUAUGCUCAUUAUUAGUGCUAAUGUUAAAUUAAAA